Molecule: ribosomal RNA, 606 nt
Filed under: uncultured bacterium
Lineage: Bacteria
Description: bacterial SSU rRNA
Rfam family: Bacterial small subunit ribosomal RNA
Source: RNAcentral
AACGAACGCUGGCGGCAGGCCUAACACAUGCAAGUCGAGCGAUCCCUUCGGGGAUAGCGGCGGACGGGUUAGUAACGCGUGGGAACGUGCCCUUCACUACGGAAUAGCCUCUGGAAACGGAGAUUAAUACCGUAUACGCCCUUCGGGGGAAAGAUUUAUCGGUGAAGGAUCGGCCCGCGUCUGAUUAGAUAGUUGGUGGGGUAAUGGCCUACCAAGUCUACGAUCAGUAGCUGGUUUGAGAGGAUGAUCAGCAACACUGGGACUGAGACACGGCCCAGACUCCUACGGGAGGCAGCAGUGGGGAAUCUUAGACAAUGGGCGCAAGCCUGAUCUAGCCAUGCCGCGUGAGUGAUGAAGGUCUUAGGAUCGUAAAGCUCUUUCGCCAGGGAUGAUAAUGACAGUACCUGGUAAAGAAACCCCGGCUAACUCCGUGCCAGCAGCCGCGGUAAUACGGAGGGGGUUAGCGUUGUUCGGAAUUACUGGGCGUAAAGCGCGCGUAGGCGGAUUGGAAAGUUGGGGGUGAAAUCCCGGGGCUCAACCCCGGAACUGCCUCCAAAACUAUCAAUCUAGAGUUCGAGAGAGGUGAGUGGAACUCCGAGUGUAGAG